Non-coding RNA from Microcebus murinus (gray mouse lemur), 587 nucleotides. The record is from RefSeq and is a predicted model, not a curated record. NCBI's taxonomy places the organism in Eukaryota, Metazoa, Chordata, Mammalia, Primates, Cheirogaleidae.
CCUGAGAGUGGCCUGUCUCCUUGUGAGAAGAGGUAGUGGGGACGUCUGCGCGGACAAAUGGAAGUAUAGGUGAUACUCUGAGGCAUCACCACCAAGCUGGGAACCGGGAAGAUGGCCGAGACUGACCCCAAGACCAUGCAGGAUCUCACCUUGGUGGUGCAGACACUUCUGCAGCAGAUGUAAGAUCAAUUCCAGACGACGUCUGACCAGAUAGAUCAUUGGAAGAAUUGAUGACAUGAGUAGUCCCAUUGAUGAUCUGGAGAGAAACAUCACCGACCUCAUGAUACAGGCUGGAGUGGAGGAACUAGAAGGUGAAAACAAGAUACCUGCCACACGGAAGAGUUGAAGGUCACUAGUAACUUUCACUGAAAUCUGGAACACCAUUUUUCUAAGCCAAGAGAAGACUGAAUGGCUUUUUGCAGCUAACUUCUAUGUGUAGACAGGUUUUAUAUUUCAAAAUGUGCAUUCUUAUCACGUACUAUAUAGUUAGUUUAUAGAGUGAUUUAUCACACAGUUUCUUGAACAUGAUAGCUUCACAUCUUGGACCUUGGUCAGUUGUGCUAUUAAUUACUAAACACUAAAACUUU